UUCCUGGUGGGAUUCCAAAGUUUGAUGUCCCUCAAACCCAAUCCCAGUUGGUUCCAACCCAAUCCCAGUUGGAUCCAACCCCAGUUCCAGAAGGUUCCUGGUAGGAUUCCAAAAUUUCGUGUCCUUCAAACCCAAUCCCAGUUGGAUUCCACCCCAAUUCCAGAAGGUUCCUGGUGGGAUUACAAAAUUUCGUGUCCCUCAAACCCAACCCCAGUUGGUUCCUCCUCAAUCCCAAUUGAAUCCAACCCAAUUUUGGGCACAUCCAACCCAAUUCCAGAAGGUUCCUGGUGGGAUUCCAAACUUUGGUGUCCCUCAAACUCAAUCCCAGUUGGUUCCACCUCAAUCCCAGUUGGUUCCAACCCCAAUUUAAGAAGGUUUCAACCCAAAUCCCAGUUGGAUCCAACCCAAUUUCAGAAGGUUGCUGGUGGGAUUCCAAAAUUUCGUGUCCCUCAAACCCAACCCCAGUUGGUUCCAACUCAAUCCCAGUUGGUUCCACCUCAAUCCCAGUUGGAUCCAACCCAAUUUCAGGAGAUUUCAACCCAAAUCCCAGUUGGUUCCAAAACCAAUUCCAGAAGGUUCCUGGUGGGACUCCAAAAUUUCGUGUCCUUCAAACUCAAUCCCAGUUGGUUCUACCUCAACCUCAGUUGGUUCCACCUCAACCUCAGAUGGUUCCACCUCAAUCCCAGUUGGUUCCACCUCAAUCCCAGUUGGUUCUACCUCUAUCCCAGUUGGUUCCACCUCAAUCCCAGUUGGUUCCAACCCAAUUUCAGGGGAUUUCAACCAAAAUUUUGGGGAGAACCAACUCCAAUUCCAGAGGGUUCCUGGUGGGAUUCCAAACUGACGUGUCCCUCAAACUCAACCCCAGUUGGUUCCACCUCAACCUCAGAUGAUUCCACCUCAAUUUCUCAAGAUUUCAACCCAAUCCCUGUUGGUUCCAACCCCAGUUUCUGGAGACUUCAACCCCAAUUCCAGAAGGUUCCUGGUGGGACUCCAAACUGACGUGUCCCUCAAACUCAAUCCCAGAUGGUUCCACCUCAACCUCAGAUGGUUCACCCUCAACCUCAGAUGAUUCCACCUCAAUUUCUCGAGAUUUCAGCCCAAUCCCACCUGGAUGGAUCCCAAUUUUUUUAACCCAUUCUGAGCCAAAAUUCCCAGAUUUUUCCACCGUUCCAGUGCCGCCGGAGGUGGCCGUGUUCCCCAAGCACCCGGUGGAGCAGGACGAGCCCAACGUCCUCAUCUGCUCGGUGACCAAGUUCUGGCCGCCGGUGC
Molecule: long non-coding RNA, 1269 nt
Filed under: Zonotrichia albicollis (white-throated sparrow)
Lineage: Eukaryota; Metazoa; Chordata; Aves; Passeriformes; Passerellidae
Description: lncRNA (ENSZALG00000001883.1)
Source: RNAcentral